RNAcentral lists this ribosomal RNA (581 nucleotides) under Melanorivulus litteratus. RNAcentral describes it as "partial 16S ribosomal RNA". It matches the Rfam family "Bacterial large subunit ribosomal RNA", at positions 1811 to 2604 of the family's 2925-position model. Lineage: Eukaryota; Metazoa; Chordata; Actinopteri; Cyprinodontiformes; Rivulidae. The record is from RNAcentral.
AAACAUCGCCUCUUGCUCAAAAAGUAUAAGAGGUCCUGCCUGCCCUGUGACACAAUGUUCAACGGCCGCGGUAUCUUGACCGUGUGAAGGUAGCGUAAUCAUUUGUCUUUUAAAUGGAGACCUGUAUGAAUGGCGUAACGAGAGCUUAACUGUCUCACUCUUUUAGUCAAUGAAAUUGAUCUCCCCGUGCAGAAGCGGGGAUAAACACAUAAGACGAAAAGACCCUAUGGAGCUUCAGAAUCUAGAGCAGCCCAAAAAAUUUAAACAAAAUUCAGGACCCUGCUCUCACAUUUCUUCGGUUGGGGCGACCAUGGAGAAAAACAAAACCUCCACGAAAAAAGUACCAAUACUUGUAUGAAUUAACGAGAUACAACUCUAAGUUCCAGAAUAUCUGCUUUUAAAUGAUCCGGCCUAUUUUUAAGCCGACCAACGAAUCAAGUUACCCUAGGGAUAACAGCGCAAUCCCCUUCUAGAGCCCACAUCGACAAGGGGGUUUACGACCUCGAUGUUGGAUCAGGACAUCCUAAUGGCGCAACCGCUAUUAAGGGUUCGUUUGUUCAACGAUUAAAGUCCUACGUGAU